GAUUCCAGUUCAGCCACAAUAGAAUAGGGCACUAAGCAGAGACAGGAGGCCCCAAUUCCCAGCCCUAACUCCUGGAUGACAUUUCUAGACACACCUUAAAUUGAAAGGAAUCUGCUCUCUUGAAAGGAAGGACCGAGUUGACAGGAUUUGUUACCUGCUGAUUAAAGCCCUCAUUGGACCUUGAAUAAUCAGCACCGAUAACAAGAGAAUACAUGUCAUGGGCCUUGGGUGAGACUCGGAGAGAUGCUGGAAUAAGGAGUAACCAAGCAUAUUCACAGCUGUGAUGGCUAUGAAGAUGGAUAGACUCCUCUGCUGAGAAAAGGAGAAGGAAGUAUAAAGGCAAAUUUUUCUUGCAACUUAGGCGCUAGCAUUGUCACACUGGGAAAGAGCACCAAGUGCGCUCUUGGGGUACUCAAUUCCACAUCUUUGAUCUUGGAUGGCAUUUCUGGACUUUCCUCUGGGCAAGAGGGGAGACCACUGCUGUGAAGGUGAGUCACAGACCUAGCAAAAACUGCUUGACAAGCCCUUGGUCUUUAAGGAAACAUUGGCAGUACUUCCUGUGGACUGGUGGUAGUGGUGGAAGAGGUGAGAAACACCUCUGCCUGAGGAAAUGGGAGGAAAGACUGAGAAAAACGUUGUCGUGUGGUUUCAGUGCCAGCUUAGCCAAAAUAGAAUAGAGCACCAGGUAAAAUCAAAGGUUUCUGACUCCAGGCAGUGGCUCCCAGAUGGCAAUUCUGGACCUGUCAGGGGCCUAGAAGAACUUGCUUUCCUGGAGGGAAGGACACAAGAUUAACUGGCUUAACCACCUGGUAUUUGUAGACUCCUAGGUCCCUGGACAAACAUAGGUGGUAGCCAGGUAGUAGUUACAGCAGGCCUCAGGCAAGGUCCAGUACUGUAUAGGCUUCAGAUCAGACCCAGCACAGUCCAAGUGGGGGUGGCCACAGGGAUGUUUGUGUUAUCCCUCACCCCAGCUCCAGGCAGCUCAGCAAAGAGAGUGAGACUCUGUUUGUUUGGGAGAAAGUGAGGAAAGUGAAUAAAAGUCUGUUCUUGGAAAUCCAGGAAAUUCUUCCAGAUCUUAUCUAAGACCACCAAGGUGGUCCCUGUACAAAUCUUCAAGAAAUAUGAUGUUACUGGGCUUGGGGUGCCACUAAUGGAAAUACAGAUAUAGUGCCCAAAAAUUUAAAUCACAACACCUAAGUCCCUUCAAAUACCUGGAAAGCCUUCCCAAGAAGAAUGAGUACAAACAAGCCUAGACUUUGAGGACUACAAUAAAUACCUAAUUAUUCAAUGCCCCCAAAUCACCAAAUAUUCAUAAACAUCAACACCAUCCAGGAAAACAUAACCUCAGAAAAUAAACUAAAUAAAGCACCAGGGACAAACCUUGGGGAGACAUAGAUAUGGUGACUCUUCAGGCAGAGAAUUCAAAAUAGCUGUCUUCAGGAAACUCAAAGAAAUUCAAAAUUACACAGAGAAGAAGUUUAGAAUUCCAGGAGAUAAAUCGAACAUGGGAAUUUAAAUAAUUAAAACGAAUCAAGCAGAAAUUCUGGAGGUGAAAAAUGCGAGUGACACACCGAAAGAUGCAUCGGAGUCUCCUAAUAGCAGAACUGAUCAAGCAGAAUAAAUAAUUAGUGAGCUUUAAGACAGGUUAUUUAAAACUACACAAAGGAAACAAAAAAAAAUUGAGGCACGCCUAAUAGAUUUUUAAAAGGGCAAAUCUAAGAGGUAUUGGACUUAAAGAGAAGGUAAAGAAAGAGAUAGAUGUAGAAAGACUUACAUUUCACAUAAUGGGUGUUGAAUACACAUUCUUCUCAACACAUGGAUUAUUUUCAAAGAUAAACUAUUAUGUUAGGCCACAAAACAAGUAUUAAAACAUCCAAAAUAUUAAAUAAUAUUUAGCAUCUACUCUGACCACAAUGGAAUAAAACUAGAAAUCUAUAAUAAGAAAAAUUUUGGAAACUAUAUAAUCACAUGGAAUUUAAACAAUAUUCUCCUGAAUGACCAGUGGGUCAAUGAAAACAGAAAGAGAAAAUUCAUAGGAGAAAAGAAAUAAAGAUCAAAGAAGAAAUAAAGAAAAUUAAAAUUGAGAAAAUAAUACAAAGAUUAACAAAACAAAAAGUAUUUUCAAAAGAUAAAAAUAAUAAAACAUUUUAACCAGACUGAGAAGAAAAAGACAGAAGACAAAAUAAAUAAAAUCAGAGAUUAAAAGGGAGACAUUGCAACCAAUUCUGCAGAAACUCAAAGGUUUAUAGAGGUUACUAUGAGCAACUAUGUGCCAACACAUUGGAAAACCUAGAAGAAAUAGGUAAAUUUCCAGACACAUAAAAUCUACCAAGAUUGAACCAUGAAGAAAUCCAAAACAUAAAUAGAACAGUAACUAGUAAAAAGAUUGAAAUCAUAAUGAAAAGUCUCCCAGCAAACAAAAGCCUGGGACACAAUGUCAUCACUGCUGAAUUUUAUGAAACAUUUAAAUAAAUAAUACCAAUUCUACUCCAAUUAUUCCAAAAAAUAGAGGUAAAUGGAAUAAUUCCAAACUCAUUCUACAAGAUCAGUAUUACCCUGAUAACAAAACCAAACACUUAUCAAAAAAAGCCAAAAUCUCUGAUGAACAUUGAUGCAAGAAUUCUCAACAAAAUAGUAGCAAACUGAAUUCAACAACACAUUAAAAAGAACAUUCAUCAUAACCAAGUGAGAUUUAUCCCAGGGAUUCAAGGAUGGUUCCAUAUAUGCAAAUUAAUUAAUGUGAUAUAUCAACACAAUGAAGGAAAAAAACCACAUGAUCAUUUCAAUUGAUGCUGAAAUGGGCAUCCUUCUCUUAUUCUAGUGCUCAGGGGCAAUGCUUUUGGCUCUUCCCCAUUCAGUGCUGUCGGUUUGUCAUAGAUGGCUUUUAUUACUUUGAGUUGUGUCCCUUCUGUGCCAAUUUUGUUGAGAGUUUUUAUCAUAAAGGAUGCUGGAUUUUGUCAAAUGCUUUUUCUGCAUCUAUUGAGAUGAUCAUAUAAUUCUUGUUUUUAAUUCUGUUAAGGUAAUGCAUUACAUUUAUUGAUUUGAGUAUAUAAAACCAUCCCUCACAAUUGUCAAAAGAUAUACACACAACAAGGGUAUAAAAAAAACUCAACAUCACUAAUUAUCAGAAAAAUGCAAAUUAAAACCACAAUGUGACAGAACCUCACUCCUGCAAGAAUGGCCAUACUUUCUUAAAUCAAAAAAUAAUAAAUGUUGAUGUGGACGUGGUGAAAAGGAAACACUUUUACACUGCUGGUGGAAUGUAAACGAGUACAACCACUACAGAAAACACUAUGGAAAUUUAUUAAAUAACUAAAAGUAGUUGUAACAUUUGACCCAGCAAUCCCCUCACUGGGUAUCUACCAAAAGGAAAAUAAGUCAUUAUAUGAAAGAGACACUUGCACACGCGAUAACUGAGUCUCCAGAUAACAGAAAGAUCUUUCCUAUCAUUGCAAAUAAUGACAUUUAAUGCCUACUGGAUUAGGGUAAAAGAAAGUCACCUAGCCAACAGCAGCUUGAAAGAUAAUAAGAAAUGCCAAGGCACUGGUAGAGCCAAGAUGGCUGACUAGGCAUAGCCACUGAGAUCUUCUCCCAGCAACAAAGACCAAAUCAUCAAGUAGACCUACACACUCUGAACAGAUCUUUGGAAAGAAGGUGUUGAGAGUGGAUAGAGGGAGGACACUCACUUGGGUUGAAAAAGGAGGAAGCUGGGAACCCCACAUUGGGU
Molecule: long non-coding RNA, 3727 nt
Filed under: Pan troglodytes (chimpanzee)
Lineage: Eukaryota; Metazoa; Chordata; Mammalia; Primates; Hominidae
Description: long non-coding RNA NONPTRT018495
Source: RNAcentral